RNAcentral lists this long non-coding RNA (333 nucleotides) under Gossypium raimondii (Peruvian cotton). RNAcentral describes it as "long non-coding RNA (GRAI_LNC004812)". The record is from RNAcentral. Lineage: Eukaryota; Viridiplantae; Streptophyta; Magnoliopsida; Malvales; Malvaceae.
UAGUUUGGGUCGGUUAACCAAUUGAGCAUCCCUAGUUUCUACACGCAUGUGUGUGACUGAAUUUCUAGUAUAUAUAAUAUUCAUAUUUACUAUCAAUUAGUUUGUUUUAAACUAUAGAUGGAAUUAACCCCAAAAAUCAAUAAAAUAAAAAAAUUAUCAAAAUUGGAAAGAAAAAAGUUAAUAUUGUAAGGCCCAAAUUUUGCCCGGGGCCCAAAUUAAACCAAAAAAAGAGUCCACUGUCCAUUACAAAAAAUUAAACCCAAAUUCCCUAACCCAACAGGCCCAAACGGCCCAAGUACAAAUAAAAUAACCCUAAGCCCGAUUAACAGUAGC